AGCUUUGCGCAGUGGCAGUAUCGGAGCCAAUGAGGUUUAUCCACGGAGCGUUUAUUGCUAAUCAAAACACGGAUUCCAGCCCACAUUGCUGUGGGUGAAUCUCAACUCUGCUACCUACUAGU
This 122-nucleotide small nuclear RNA is filed under the name Canis lupus dingo (dingo). RNAcentral describes it as "U4 spliceosomal RNA (ENSCAFG00020023652.1)". The record is from RNAcentral. Lineage: Eukaryota; Metazoa; Chordata; Mammalia; Carnivora; Canidae.